Molecule: ribosomal RNA, 253 nt
Filed under: uncultured bacterium
Lineage: Bacteria
Description: partial 16S ribosomal RNA
Rfam family: Bacterial small subunit ribosomal RNA
Source: RNAcentral
UACGUAGGUGGCAAGCGUUGUCCGGAUUUACUGGGCGUAAAGAGCGCGCAGGCGGUCGUCCAAGUCGCGUGUGAAAGCCCCUGGCUCAACUAGGGAGAGUCAUUCGAUACUGUUCGACUCGAAGGCAGGAGAGGGAAGUGGAAUUCCGGGUGUAGUGGUGAAAUGCGUAGAUAUCCGGAGGAACACCAGUGGCGAAGGCGACUUUCUGGCCUGUUCUUGACGCUGAGGCGCGAAAGCGAGGGGAGCAAACGGG